UCCUUUAUCACUUGCUUGAAAAAACUGACAGUCGCGCAGUCAGUCAAGUAACGUCACAUUAUUUCUGAUUUAGGAGAAAUUAUGAUUUGGAGGCUUAUUACGGUUCUCGAGCGAGUUUACUCACUUCUCACAUUUUCAUCUCACGUGAGUUUAGUCACUCUAUUACGGAUCUCUCGAGUGAAAAUGUGAAGUAACUAGGCACUUCCGGUAUAGGGAUCUCACAUUUUCACGAAAGUUGACUCCAUUUUGUCAGAUAACCUAGAAAAGUUGUUGUGAAUGUCAGAAAGAAUUGUUGAAGAAAAUGAACGUGACAGAAGUAUAAUAUAUAAAAUAUAUAAUAAAUAAUAUAAAUAUAUAUAAGUUAUAUUGAAUGGGUCUGAGGCAUCGCGUAGUGUUCGUCGUAUUCUGAGCAUUCGAUUUUCCCGAUUUUGCAUAAUCACGAUAACUAAAUUAUUCAUUGUACAAGUUCCCACGUAUCAAUAACUUUUACUCUUUAACCAACAAAUAUGGAGUGAUCUUCGUUCUUUGAUGAAACCGAUGGAACUUUCAGGCAAAUUCAAGCAAAUUACGCUCACGAGCAUGCGCAGAACGAUUCUCGACACCGAAUUUCGUGUCGAGUUUAUUCAUGUGGAUAACCUCGUCUUUUCACCUCGUGAGAUUCACCGUAAUAGGUGAUCAACACUUUUUAGUGACUGUAGUGAUUGGAUCUAACGGAAUAGGCCAAUGAAACUACUUAGUGUCAUGUGUCAGAAAUUGACGCAAGGACAGUGCAUGUUCAAUCGCGUUUUUGAGACAAAUCGGGAAAGGGAUGAUCGUUUCAAUUACCUUACGAUUAAAAAUAUUAACACAGUUCAGAAUAUUGUAUUCCAGAAUGAUGUAAGCUUACUUGAGAUUGCAUAAGAAUGGCAUGUUGGGAAGUUAUUAUUUGUGUUCAUGAAUACCGGUAUGUUGUAUGUAUGAAAUUACAACCAUGUAUUAAAAUUGUUAAAACGAAACCAAUGAUACAAAGUAUAUACAAUGUUGUAAGCAUUUAUUAAAAAUGUAUGAAAUAAA
Molecule: long non-coding RNA, 1053 nt
Filed under: Neodiprion pinetum (white pine sawfly)
Lineage: Eukaryota; Metazoa; Arthropoda; Insecta; Hymenoptera; Diprionidae
Description: uncharacterized LOC124223876
Source: RNAcentral